Molecule: ribosomal RNA, 435 nt
Filed under: Triticum aestivum (bread wheat)
Lineage: Eukaryota; Viridiplantae; Streptophyta; Magnoliopsida; Poales; Poaceae
Description: partial small subunit ribosomal RNA
Source: RNAcentral
GAUACCUCCGAUUGAGCUGUCUGGUCGUCUUCGUCGUCUUCGCUUCGCGUUCUCCAUGCAUGAUGAUGGUGAUGUGUGUGUGGGCGGCGGCAGAGCCCGUGUCCUCGUCGGUACACGCGCCGCGUGUAGCGUAGCCUUUGCGGUGGCCACGCUCGCCCUUGCCGUCGUGCCUCGUCGGUCUUGGCGGCGUUGGAGGAGUUGUUGUUGGGGUAGCAUGGAUCACGCUCGGCUCGGACUUCUCGACGACCAGUAGCUUCUCGGGGUGUACAAGGGUCUACACCCUGCGGGAGUAAUUGUCGAUGGAGACCGGCGUCGGUGUAUGACCGUCGCGUUGCUCGCGCCAGCAUGGCCUGAGUGGUCGACACCUCGUCCCGGUCAGACGCCGAGUCCACGGCAGUCAGUGUAGUCAAGGCAUCGUCUCACGAGAUCGUAGAG